Molecule: ribosomal RNA, 492 nt
Filed under: uncultured bacterium
Lineage: Bacteria
Description: partial 16S ribosomal RNA
Rfam family: Bacterial small subunit ribosomal RNA
Source: RNAcentral
AGUGAACGCUGGCGGUAGGCCUAACACAUGCAAGUCGAACGGCAGCACAGUAAGAGCUUGCUCUUACGGGUGGCGAGUGGCGGACGGGUGAGGAAUACAUCGGAAUCUACUUUUUCGUGGGGGAUAACGUAGGCAAACUUACGCUAAUACCGCAUACGACCUACGGGUGAAAGCAGGGGAUCUUCGGACCUUGCGCGAUUGAAUGAGCCGAUGUCGGAUUAGCUAGUUGGCGGGGUAAAGGCCCACCGAGGCGACGAUCCGUAGCUGGUCUGAGAGGAUGAUCAGCCACACUGGAACUGAGACACGGUCCAGACUCCUACGGGAGGCAGCAGUGGGGAAUAUUGGACAAUGGGCGCAAGCCUGAUCCAGCCAUACCGCGUGGGUGAAGAAGGCCUUCGGGUUGUAAAGCCCUUUUGUUGGGAAAGAAAAGCAGCAGGUUAAUACCCCGCUGUUCUGACGGUACCCAAAGAAUAAGCACCGGCUAACUUCGUG